RNAcentral lists this long non-coding RNA (6872 nucleotides) under Sus scrofa (pig). RNAcentral describes it as "lncRNA (ENSSSCG00005013102.1)". Lineage: Eukaryota; Metazoa; Chordata; Mammalia; Artiodactyla; Suidae. The record is from RNAcentral.
CAGCCACAGCCACAGCAAUGUGGGAUCCAAGCCACGUCUGUGACCUACACCACAGCCCACGGCAACGCUGGAUCCUCAACCCAUUGAGCGAGGCCAGGGAUCGAACCUGCCUCUUCAGGGUUACCAGUCAGGUUCAUUUCCACUGAGCCACGACAGGAACUCCCCCUCUGCUGUAAAUUCACAGCAUUGACACCUCACUCGAGGCCCUUGGAACAUGCUUGUCCAUGUCCAUGAAGAAGAGUAUUGAACUUAGAAACCUGGGUUCAUCCUGGCACAGCCACUGGCUAUCUCUAUGACAUUGGGCACAUCCUCUAACUGCCUUGGGCUUCAGUGUCCUUACCUGGUAAGGACUCCUUACCAGGAGUCGUAAGGGUUACCUGACAGCGUACACAGAAAUCAACUUUGCCAAUGGAAAUACAAUCACAUUUCUCGCUUUCUGCUACCUUUCCUACUUGUCUCAGAGCUCUUGGAGGGAAGGACCGUGUCCUCAUCAUUUUUUUAUGCUACAAUUACUACUAUUGCAUUACCAUUCGCUCGUCAUCAUUAACAUAUUGCCAAUAAUAGUUAAUGUGUGUGGAGCAUGUAGAAUCAUGUCAGGCACCUUUCUAAGUACUCGAUAUGGAUUAAUUAAUUCUUCCAAUAACCCUAAGAGGUCCUGUAACCCUAAGAGGUCCUGUUAUUAGCCUACUUUAUGGAGAAAACUAUGUAUUUCUCAGAGCCUCCAAAGAAUGAGCCAAUGAAUGAAGGACUGAAUGAGACAGAAACUGCUAGCAACACCUACCAGGUGAUUAUUUUUCUCUCUUGCUUCUCUGCCCAAACUUGUCUUUCUUUUGAUCCCCUGAGGCAAAUGCAAAAUUAGGAAAAAGUCUUGCGUCAACUGAGACUGUGAAUGAUGAGUGGUCUCCUUGGGUCUUCAUUUAGGUCGGCUUCUCAUGAGGUGAGUGCCAGGAGGACACAGACUGUGCCUGUCUUGUUCUCUGCUGUUGCCACAGGGCCUGGAACAAUGUCUCGUGAUCAGUCCAUGUUCAUUGAAUAGGUGGACUGAGUGGCUUAGAAACAGCGCCUUCCCUGGCACCGAUAGAACAGAAACUGCUGACCACAGAGCCGGUCUUGUGUCUCGCUUUCCCAGGCAGUACUACGAGAUGCUCUACAACACGGCCGAUGAGCUCCUGAACCUGGUGGUGGACCAGGGCGUGAAGUACACGGAGCUGGAGUACAUCCACGCCCUGACCUUGCUGCACCGCAGCCAGACGGGGGUGGGAGACCAGACCACCCAGAACAUGCGGCUUCAGCGGCUCAAGGAGAUCAUCUGCGAGCAGGCGGCCAUCAAGCAAGCCACCAAGGAUAAGAAGAUAACUACAGUGUAACCGCCGCCCCGUGGAAGGGGGACAGGGGCACGGCUUGUUUUUGUCUCCUUAGUCAUACUCCUUUCUGGCUGUGUUAUUGGGUGUAGUCUGAGCUGACUUAGUUUUCUCGACACGGAUGCUCAAGUGGAGAGAAGGUAGAAGGAUUUUUUUUUUUUUUUUUCCGCUUUGGUUUUGGCUUUUCAUAUAAACUCUCAAGGGAAUUUGCAGUACAGAAUGUUGGGAUCGACCGUUUAUUGGAAUGCCGUCCAUUGCAAAGGGUCCGGGGGUGGGAUGGGAAGGAAGGUUGUAUGACAUUGGACUCAGAACAAGAUGCAUGCACGAUUACUAAUGCCCAGCCAUUUCGGAUAAGUAUAGAUUGUUGCCUAUGUAAACCUCUCAAUAGGGUUCUAUUACAUAAACAGUAGGGUUUUUAUGCUCUUGACCUUGUCCAUUGACAGUUCAGUGAAGCAAGUGCAUGUGCAUUGCUUUCUGUCACCAGGGCCCAUGGCUUCUCAGCUGGCGGUAGUUUUCAGCAAAUUUCCCCUUUGGGGCUGGGGGGAGGAAGUCCUCUUAUGUCAGACCUUGGGAGAGUCUUGUAUGCAGUAGCCUGGACACAGCUUAUGGAUUGGUUUGAUGCCUUUUUGUUUUUAUUUCUACUGUCUCAAAACUGAGAACCAGGAAAUGAAUGAUGAAAAUGCAAGAACAAAAGGUAAUUCAACCCUCUUCCUGAUUUUUUCCUCUACUCUCCAAGAGAAAAUGAUUGUUAGAGAAUUUUUAAUCUCACUGGAAAGAUUGUCUGGGUGUGACUGGUUCUUAAAUGCUCACCCUCCUUAUAAGCCCCAGGGUCUUUUUUUCUUUUUUUUUUCUUUUUGUCUGUUUCUUUCUUGCAUGUGUGUGUGUACUUUUUUUUUUUUAACAUAUUUGUUGAAUUAACAUAUAGUUGAUUUACAGUGUUGUACCAAUUUCACCCAAGGUCUUUCUCACCUUAGAAGGUACCCAAACUGGGUGCAGGGAAGGUAAAACCACCACGAUAUCCUUCCUCUGUGCAGCCACCAGCUGAGGAUGUUUCUGAGGUAUACUGGGCUGGCGUGGGAGCACGCUGCUCCUGGCACAUUUGCCUUCCCCACUGACCCCACAUCUCCAAGCCUUCUUGCUGCCUCUGGCUGUCAUAUCACAGAAGAAAGCAAUGCACUGACUGGGACACAGCUUGCAAACACAGGCAAGGGAGAGCUGAAAGGACUCGGACCAGAUGAGGUCAUGCCUCAUGCUCUGAUGGUCCAGAAUUUCGCACCUGUUUGUUCAACUUAGGUCUUGGUGGGAAAAGCAGAAAAUUAAAAAAUGUUUCGAGAAGCGUAGGUGUCGUGUAUUGUUUUUCUUGUGUUUAUUCAGCAAACAUUCCCUGAGAGCCUUACCCAAUGCUGCUGGACGUGGGAGCAGAAAUAAGAUAAUGAGAACCCUCUUUCCCCCUACAUCGAAGACAGCAUGGGAUCUGGACUCUGACCCAGAUCCCAAGAGGUGUGCACUUGGGGCUGGGUUGGAAAUCAAGCCAGUGGGGUAGCUGUGUAGGCAGCUGGAGGACAGUCUUCCAGGGGGUUCUGGAAGGAAUGUUGUAAAUCUAUGUGGCGUCAGAGGCCCAGGUGGGAAGAAGCUGAAUCUGUGUGGGAGACCAUCAUGGAAAAAUGUCCUAAGCAGCAUUGCUGGAGGUGAUCUCCCUGGAAGUGGGGGCGGGAGGCGGGAGACAGGGGGAGGUCAGUGCUGAUCGCCGUGGCCGUGGCCUGUGCCCAGAGCUUCCGUGCCUUGCCCCUGCCCUCUUCUGUCCUCCCUAGAAAAACAACCUUGGAGUGGUGACAGGGAGGCCAGAAGAGCCAGGGGUGGGCUGGGGGAAUUUAUAGGAGCAUUUUAUUGGCUCUGGAAAGGGAUGUGGGUUUUGACAGUCAAAGGCCAAGAUCACUGAGAACCAGCGGACAAAUGGUGAACAUGCUGCUUCAAGAGAUCAUUUCGGAAAGUAGACUCCCCGCUUUGCUUAUAGUAAUGACGGGAUUGAAAAAUGGUGAUUCUGCACAGAAAAAACAAUCUAGAGUUCUUUUUCCAAGACCUUCAAGGCCCACAUUUCUAUGCAAGAUGGUACAUCCGUCAUUAUUCGCCAACUGAUCAAGAAUAGCCAUUGCCACAGUCCGUGGGUGGUCAGGUGGAUGGAGAUGGCACAGCCACCUCAGGACCUGCCUUCCCUGGGGACACAGUGAGGAUUUCUUCUUGUUAUGGUCCUAGUUUGGGGAUAUUCUGUGUGACUGCUUGUGUGCUGCUCGAAGCCGUGACCGGAAAUCGCUAGAGAGCGCCAGACCCCCCGCGGGUGGAGGCCAGCAUGUGCUCACACCGAUAUGUAACCACAGGAGUUCAUUUCCAGCCAUGAAGACCACUCCCCAAAGGUCCUGUUGCAGCUUAAAGGGUCAGGAAAAUAGGCCUCCCCAGAAAGGGCACUAAAACAAAGCAAACUCUUGUCUUUCUCUCCUACGAGGUGACAAGGGGGAUCAACAGGUGUAAAACACGACUGUCACAGCACCACGGAGAAGGCGCACGAGGAAGCGUCCUGAGGUGGACAACAGACAGGAGCAGGAGGAGGGAGGACUGUGGGGCGAGGUCCAGCCUGGUCAUCAGAGAACUAGCUCCCCGAGCUCCAGCAACCGAGAGAGCUCACUUCCCUCUGUGUCACUGUCAUCUACUCUCUGGUAAAGUACCACACGUUGUCCCAUUCUGUACUCACAGCAACCGUGUCACCCAUACUACUUUCUUUCCUUGUAUAUACAGGGGAUCAGAAAAUGCUAAUGGCGUCUCUCCCAACUUAGCACCCCUUGGAAUAAACUCCGCGAAGCAGAGGUACUCAUUCAAAGGAUCGGAUCCAGAGCUUGAGAGGUUUUUGUAAAUCAAGUUGUGUUCCCAGAACUGCUGAUUGUGGUUUCUUCUUCUGCAGGGUUUUGUUACUUUUAAUUCUCUUAUUAUCCCUUGUCACUGGACCUCUUAAUUUAUAAAUAGUAUUCUGAUACUGUGCCCUUUCACCCCAGGAGCCAUUCAUUGAUACCUGUGCUAUGGAUGCAGUUUCUCUCAGGGACGUUCACCCUAGGACCGUGCUUUUAUGCCACAUUUACAAUGGGGCUUUUUAAUCUUAUUGCCCGAGUGGAACGUUUCCUUCCCGCAUACGAUUACAUCUCUGCUGAUUCACAAGGAGCAAGGUUAUAUGUUCCUCAUGCAGCCCUUGGCCGAAGAAGACCUGCUUCCAGGCUAUGAAAGACAAGAUCAUGUUGGAGUGGCCAGGUCAGCUCAAGUUCUGACCUGAGGAUCAACCCUAGGAUCAGACCUAAGCUCCCACAGUCCAUACCCUUGAGACAAUCAGUCAUGAAGAAUCUGGUGGGGACCCCCCCCCACUUGGAAUUACUGCCCUCUGUAGAGUGACCUCGUUCACAGACCCCCCAGCCUCUCUCCAGAACCUCUCCUUCUUGGCGGAUGCUUUCUCAGCCAGUCAUUAUUUAUGUUUCAGAUAGCUUGAGAAGAAAACCACAAAUACAGCCAAGUUGAAUUGGCAACCAAAGCCUGAUCAUUCUUACUGUCAGGUCAUAUCCAGGAAUGUCUUAGCACCAAGGUAUCCAUUGUCAGUCCAAGAGAUAUAAUUGCCUGUCAUGGCAGUAACAAAUCCUGACACGGAUUCAUGCAAUGGCCAACAAAAGAGACAGUCCCUUGUGACGAGGUGCUGGUACUUCCACUCUGAUGAAGAGUCACGCAACUUCCACUCCGGUCUUGUCCUCUCCAGAGCCCAGAUUACCUAAGGCUACCCUUCAUUAAGGAUUGAGAACUGAAAUCUUCAGCCCAACCCUCCGCUACUCUUUUUGCCUUUCUUGUAAGCCCAGGACUGUAUCUCAUUGUUUGCUGUUCCCUCCUUAACUAGCAAAGUACCUGGAAGUUGAUGGAACAAAUGGAUUCCUGCCUCAGUUCCUAGGAAUGUACCAAGGCCAUUUGCAUUCAGCAGUCUUGCCCUGAGAUAGCGCUGUGGCUGGUUCCCCAGGACCAGGGCACAGAUAUUUCACAGUCAACAGCGGGGGGUUACCAGGGUUUCACACCAAGCCCUCCAUUGGAGGCAGACAUGAUGAGGAGACCAGCAAAGUGGCGGUCCUUCUGGCAGGAUGUGAAAACAAGAAGCGAACUGAUCAACACAAUUUUGCUUGGAAAGCAAAGCAUGUGCAGUAAUACGCACACCUGGGCGCAGCUGUCUUAAUGUGGCAGGGAUGCACAACAAACCGGGCAUCAUUUGGAGGGAGGGUAAUGAGGGACCAAGAGCAAGAAAACAAAGGAUGACUGCGCUCCGCGAAGGUCUCGACUCCCUUCUAAUUAGGCACAGUUGUUCUACAAAGUACGUAAUUAAUAAGCGUGUGACCAGAUGCAAAGUACAGCGGCGGCUCUUCCGGCGCUGGACGUGGUGAUGAAGUGUGCACAGCUGGAGGUAGUUGUUCUAAUUUGGCGGAGGCAGAAGGCCCGCCUGGAGUUUUGAGGAGGUGCAGCGAGAGCCGUACACCUGAAAGCAGCUCAUCCUAUUCCGACUGGGCCGGGGUGUAAUGAGAUGGAGCUAAUUAUCAGGAGUGUAAUGAGAUGCCAAAGCCCCUGGAGUUGAGCUGGAAAUUUCAAAGUGAGCUAAGCUGCAAACCCAAGAGAAGAAUUUCCACCGAUGGAGCCGGGUGUGAGUAGGAGGAAGUGUGCCUGAUUGAAAGACCUGCCUUCACGCCCCUGAGCCGAAGACUUCUGUCUGAAACUGCACAGGAUGCCAGGACCUUCCCCCACCUGGAGCAGGAGUCCCUGGGAACCUGAGAACACCAUGACCUGGAAAAGCUGCACAUGGAUUUCUUUUAAUGUGUAUAUGGUUUAUUUAUGUCCACACAACUGAAAAGAAAUCAAGUCAGGUGCUGUCGCGUGAGUGUCGUGGCCAUUAUAUUCCAUCUCAUUUAGAAAUGUGGCCUCAGAUUGCUGACUUUGCAAAUAGAUACUCCAGGAGGAGAAAAAUUAGCAACCUCCUCAUCUCAAACUUCUUUCAUUACCUACCAGCCACAUUUUCUUUCACGAGGAUUUAUUUACCGCCAGAGAGCAGGAAACCCCUUAAUACCUGUUUUCUGUUCACGGUUUUUAUUUUACAGUUGCUGUUAUUUUAGACACCAUUUAUUGAACACUGAAUAUGUGUGAGAUGCUGUGCUAAAUGCUUUACCAUAGACUUCCAUUUAAUCCACAUGCUGGAGUUCCUCCCAUGGCUCAGCAGUUAACGAAUCUGACUAGCAUCCAUGAGGACCCAGGUUCGAUCCCUGCCCUUGCUCCAUGGGUUAAGGAUCUGGCGUGGCCGUGAGCUGUGGUGUGGGUGACAGCCUCUGUGCGGAUCCUGCAUUACUGUGGCUGUGGCAUAGUCCGACAGCUGUAGCUCCCAUUCAACCCCUAGCCUGGAACCUCCGCCUGCCGCAGAUGCGGCCCUAAAAAGCAAAAAGAAAAAAGAAAAAA